This 753-nucleotide ribosomal RNA is filed under the name Priestia megaterium. Its description in RNAcentral is "bacterial SSU rRNA". Lineage: Bacteria; Bacillati; Bacillota; Bacilli; Caryophanales; Bacillaceae. The record is from RNAcentral.
CAUGYAGUCGAGCGAACUGAUUAGAAGCUUGCUUCUAUGACGUUAGCGGCGGMCGGGUGAGUAACACGUGGGCAACCUGCCUGUAAGACUGGGAUAACUUCGGGAAACCGAAGCUAAUACCGGAUAGGAUCUUCUCCUUCAUGGGAGAUGAUUGAAAGAUGGUUUCGGCUAUCACUUACAGAUGGGCCCGCGGUGCAUUAGCUAGUUGGUGAGGUAACGGCUCACCAAGGCAACGAUGCAUAGCCGACCUGAGAGGGUGAUCGGCCACACUGGGACUGAGACACGGCCCAGACUCCUACGGGAGGCAGCAGUAGGGAAUCUUCCGCAAUGGACGAAAGUCUGACGGAGCAACGCCGCGUGAGUGAUGAAGGCUUUCGGGUCGUAAAACUCUGUUGUUAGGGAAGAACAAGUACRAGAGUAACUGCUUGUACCUUGACGGUACCUAACCAGAAAGCCACGGCUAACUACGUGCCAGCAGCCGCGGUAAUACGUAGGUGGCAAGCGUUAUCCGGAAUUAUUGGGCGUAAAGCGCGCGCAGGCGGUUUCUUAAGUCUGAUGUGAAAGCCCACGGCUCAACCGUGGAGGGUCAUUGGAAACUGGGGAACUUGAGUGCAGAAGAGAAAAGCGGAAUUCCACGUGUAGCGGUGAAAUGCGUAGAGAUGUGGAGGAACACCAGUGGCGAAGGCGGCUUUUUGGUCUGUAACUGACGCUGAGGCGCGAAAGCGUGGGGAGCAAACAGGAUUAGAUACCCUG